AGAGGGACCAUUUUCAGCGACACCUUACAAUUUCAUGGAUGUAUUUGCCAAUUCACAAAAUUUAAGGUCUAUUUUGACCGAUGUUUAAAGCUUUGAGGACUAAUUUUCCUAUUCACUCAUUAAGAUGACACAUAUGCGACAUGCUCCCUGAGGAAAAUAAUAUCGCUUCUGGAUAAUAACAAUAAGAUAUAGUGUACUAUGCGAUGAAGUCUUUUAUGUUAGAUGUUUCCCUAACCCACCAAGUACCCACUCUAGUUUUGGGUCUGCAUUUGUAAAUAUACUGAUUACUGCAUAAUGCAAUAAUAUGUGAUUUGGAAUCUAAACAUUCAAUUGUUUCUUCCUUUUGUAAUACUUUGAGACAGUGCUUAUAUCAGUUUUCCCUAACCCUCCUUGUUUGUUCAUUGUUCUUUAAAUACAGGAUGUUGCAUUAGCAUCUGUUUCGAUGAGGUCAGUACCAUUCGCACCAGUUUUAGAGAAACUUUCCCUUUCAGACGCGAAAUAUAGAACAGUGAGGCGGUUUUAUAUAAAAACUCUUGAAGACAAUGCCAUACCUACUGCACUGCAAGAAAACAUGAUAAAUGCAAGCCCUCCAGAGAAGGUUUUCCAUUUAAAGGGCGCUGAUCAUUCUCCUUUCUUCUCAAAGCCUCAAGCUCUUCAUAAGUUAUUGGUAGAAAUCUCAACAAUACUUUGAGAAAAAAUUCAUUACCUAAAUUGUUUGUGAAGCUUCAUUCACGCUAAAGCUUCACUAAAAUGAAAUUUUAAUGUAUAGUUCCUUUAUCAUGAAUGAGUAUUGUGUGCAAGUUACAGGUUUCCUUCUUCCCCUUCUUUUUUUGGAGUUCGAAUUAGGAAAACUAGCUUGUAUUGUAUCUUCCACCUAAAUGUAGCACCGACACUUCAAAUUGAAGACGUGUUCAGUGUCCGACACAUGUUAUAUUCUGACAUAAGAGAGACACACGUGGUUGGUUACAUUCAAUUAUUUAUAUUUUUCAAAUUAUUAUCAAUGUCAGCAGAUCAGUAUUAGUGUUGUGUCUGGUGUUCAUGUUUGUAUUGGUGUUUCAUGCCCUCAACUCAUAACAGGCAUUUCUUGCAAAAAAAACUUGUUAUAUUGCUAGUGUUACAUGUAAAAAAGGCCAAAGUUUGAUGAUUAAUAAAAGGGAAAUGCUAACCGAUGCCCCUGGGGCACCGGUUAAGGAUAUGAAAAAGGAAAUUAUAUAGUAGUUAAUACAUUGAAAUUGUUUAAUUAAUUUAUAAUAAAGUCAGAAACAGUUUACUUUUAUGGUAAUAAUUCCCUUUUAUGGUAUGCUUAACCAGUGCCUUAGGGGCACCGGUUAGCAGGACCCAAAAAUUACAAGUAACCCUUAUUGAUUAGAGAAAAACUUGCCACUAAUAAGUAAAUCCUAUGGCAACAGAAAAGAUAAGGAUAACGCAUUGGCAAGUUGCAAGGAAGAAAUCGAAUGUUGUAUUUUUAGGAUGUUUUUCACAAUAUUUUUGCAUGUCACUCAAAUAAUAUCAAUAUUUUGUACAAUUAUUGUGCUUUACAGUUGAAGAAAGCUGAGAUGCUGUGUUUUGUUUUGGCCUAUUCUCUUUAUGAUUGAUGGUCAUUCAUGAUUAUGUUGCUAUUUGGGAAUGCCUCCGGUGGUGGUUUUAAAAAUUAUAAUAGGGGAAAAUUUUCAAGUAUUAGAGUAAAGAAAAGCUCAAAUGUGUGUUGUUAAGUUACAGAAACCUUUUUUGUUUUUCUGUUUUUAUUAUUUAUUUUAAUUUUUAUGAGAAGUAACAGAAACAUGAGCACUUAUAUAGUCACUAAAAAAUAAAACAUAGUUGGCACUAAAAAAUUUCAAGAUAUGAUCAAACAACAUCUUUUAUGCUGUGCAAAAAUUAUUUCGUUUUACAUUAUACAUGUUUACACUAUACUUGCAUGUAUAAAAGAGUGUUCCAUGUAACCGCUAAAUAUAAAUUUUGAAGUUUUGGCAUGAAUACGACCGUGUUCUUUGAUUCCCAAUCCCAGAGAAAGGCUGUUCUCGAGUACCUAGCCUCGCUGAGACUGUGCUCUCCUUGUAGGUGUGCGAUCUCAUAAAAUGCAGGUCACUCCAUUCAUCACUCAUAUAUGUCCUAUCUUUUUGGGUCAUACCAAAUUGGCUAUCUUCUUCACUCACUACCAAUUGCAAUGCAAACUCUAAACCCCCAACCACUUGACUCAUUGAGGGUCGUUGAGUCCCAUCAUCAUGCAAGCAACUUAACGCCAACUUGCAAUAAUAUUUCAAGCACUCAACUGUGAUAGAAUCCCUUAAGAAUGGAUCGACUAUUUGUUCAAUCGCCACACCUUCAUUAUGGCAUUUUUGAAACCAACAAACUAGACUAGCUGUAUUCUUAUCCAAAUCACGAACCAAAGGUGGUCUAGCACACAACACCUCAAGAAGCACCACACCAAACGAGUACACGUCAGAUUUUAGAGUUAGCCUUUGGAGCAUAUAGUAUUCGGGAUCCAAAUAUCCAAGGCUCCCCUUCACCAUCGUGCUGACAUGGGUAGUCGUUAUUCCUGUAGGUCCCACCUUGGAUAACCCGAAAUCAGAAACCUUAGCUACCCAUUUCUCAUCCAACAGUAUGUUGGUGCUCUUUACGUCACGAUGUAUUAUCUUGUGCUUCACCUCAGAAUGAAGAUAAUUCAGCCCUCUCGCUGCACCCAAUAGGAUCUCAAGCCUCUGCUUCCAUGGUAGGGGCUGAUUAUUGGAACCAUACAGAUACUCGCAGAGAGUACCGUGCUGCAUGAACUCAUAAACCAGAAUCAUCUCUGUGUUGUCAUUGCAAUAUCCUACAAGGGACACCAAGUGAAUGUGGCGAAGCUGGGAGAGCAACUCGAUUUCGUUCAUGAACUCGUUGGCACCUUGUUGAGAGCCUGAUUUGAGGCGUUUUAUCGCAACAGGUGUGGAUCCAUCGACACAACCUUUGUACACGUUCCCAAACCCUCCAAAUCCGAUGAUGAAAUCAUUGUCAAAGUUGUUUGUGGCUGCUUUGAUCUCCGCGAUUGUAAAGUAGCGACACAAAUGCGGCUGCAGAGAUAAUAACUCUAUGUUCUUUGUCUUACACGAAUUAUCUGCCAUGGCAUUGUGUAACCUUCUCCUUAGCCAAAAAAUAGUGAUACCCACAACAAUUGUUAGCGUGAGGCCUGAAAUUGCAAUAACAACAACAAAAGCUGUGGUGAUCUUAAUUUUUUUUGACGACUGGGUUGAAAAUUCUUGAUGCCGGGGAGAUAGACCAAUGAAUUUUGAAAUUUGCCCUGCAAGAUUAGUUUUAUCACUUAUUUUGAAAAUCUCAAUUCCAUUCAGCAGGACAUCACGAUAUAUUGUGUGUAUAGUUUCUGGUGCUCGUCGAAGCUUGAUUGAAAGAUUAACUCUUUCAAUUUGAGAGCUUCCUUCUUGAGAGUACAUAAGCACAACAUAAUCCUUAUGAGUAGGAACCAUACGAGCACCACUCCACCUUAUCACAUCAGCUUUUUCCUCAGCUAGAAUGUUAGCUAUGAAAAUCUGAAAGACUCUAUCACCUUGAUCUCUUAUCGUCAUUUCAAACUCACAAAAAUGUAAUCUUACCAUAUAAGUAAAAGAAGAAUCAACUUCAAAAUUCCAAGUUACAUUGUAAUCCUUUGUUGCAUCCAUUCCAUAACUUCUCGCAGUUAAGUAAACAGCUUCUGGUGCAGUGUAAUUUGAAAUGGUAUUGUUUAAAUAGUUUAGAUGAUGUCCAAAAUAACUUGAUACACUAAGUGGAUAUUCUUUCUCCAAGUAACGAGGAAAAUCAUUGUCCCAAUUGCGAAACAUACCUGUAUCAUAAUUUGGUGGAACUUGAUUUUCACCAGCGUUGACUCUAUAAACUGUUUCCAUAGCUUUGUUGUUAAGAAUCUGGUAUUCACCGCUGUCAAAAUCAAGUAUCUUUAAAUGGUAGUUCGUGUCACUGAGAUUAGUGUAAUAGAGAAAAGAAGGCAUAGACACAAUCUCAAUUCCGUUGAUGAAAGCUAAACCAUUUAAUUGGUUUGUGUUUGUAUUUUUGGGAAUGAAAGUUAUGUUUAGCUUCUCAUUUGGAGCAAUUUGUAUGCAAUAUUCUUUGGUGAUUGUCUUGCUAUCGUUUGAAAGCCAAAGCGAGGGAUUAAAGUCUUUGAGAAGGGUAAGGUUGGUUCCUACUUUGACUGUGAAGAGGGCGUUGGAGGUUUCAAUGUGUUGAUACGAAUACGAUGUUGGAUAAAAAUAGAGGCGAAGAAAAAUAGGGCCAUUGGUGAUGGAAGAAAAGGAGAAUGUGAAAUUCGAAAAAGAAAUACGUGCAGAGGCGAAGGGAAUUCGCUUAACAGCAUCAGAGUUAGGAUUAGCUUUGGCUUUGAAAGACGGGAGUUCGGUUUGUGGUUCAAUGAUAGAGAAUAAUUUGGUGUUAUCCCUGUCCCCAACCCAUGUUCGAUUUUCAAAGAUAGUAUCGUUGAAGUGGCCACAAUUCACUGCUAAAAUAUCAUACAAGCUGUUAACCUCUAGAGGGAACAACAAAAGAUGAAGGAGAAACAAAUUACUAGACAGUAGGGUGAUUUUACUAGGAACUAUGUUCUUUAGGAGGUUGGCCAUAGCUAAAGAAUUUUUGUUGAAGUUUGCCAUGCAAGAAGUUGCAUUUAUUGAGGGGGAAACGUGUAUAUUGGAUGGGAAAAUAAUGUUUGAACUUUCAACAUCAAAAUGACAAUCAAAUGGUGUUUACCUAAAUAAUUUGGUAUGAGUGGAAUUGGAUUAGAAUUCUUAAGCAAAGUUUUGGAUUCGAACUUAAUGGAUGACAAUAAUGUAAUUGAAAUGAGAGACUCCAUUAAAGAUGAACAAUUCUUUCUUUCUAUAAAGAAAUGAUAGUCAAUUCUCGCAAAGAUUUGUUAUUAGCAAAUGCGAUAGCCGAUAGACACUUCACAUAUAGUUUGAUUUAAACAAAGAAUAAAUGUGGUUAUUUUGGUGUAUUAGUUUUUAAAUCCAUAAUGGAUUAAAUAAUUUAUUUUUUAGGGACGAUUAGAUGAAAUUUUUAAAUGAAAAAUAGAGAUAAAAAUAUAUGGUAUAAUGUAUGAUAUCCUAAAUUUGAAUUUCAAAUAAUAAAAUUGUAGCCAUCGAAUAAAGAAUUAUUUUGUAAAACGUAUUAGAAGAUAGGGAAAUCACUAAGAAACAACAUCAAUAGGCACUUGAGCGUAGAAAAAUCUACUCAAAAAUAUGUUUCUAUUUGAUCCUUUUGGUUCUUGUUAGCCAAAAAAACUAUGAUAUCCAUGACAAAUGCUCACGAGGUCGGAAAUUGUAAUCACAACAAUACUUGAUACGGGUGAGAUAGAUCAAUGGUUUUUGAUAUUGAUCCUGCAAUAUUCAUAUCCACAUAAUAUAAUAAAUAUACAUAAUAUGCUAUGCCUGCUAGAAGUCAUCUAUAUAAUAACAUGCAAUAGUGGGAUACCACGAGGAGACGAAGACUUGAUGAAGACCUUAGGAAGUCUUUGAAUAAAUAAUGCCACAAUAAAUUAAAAAUAUGGUGCCAUCACUAUACAUAAUAAGAAAAAAACUACAAAUUGACUAUUUUGUCACUAGUUAGCUAGUUGACAACAGGGGUGGCCCUGAGCACGGGCCGAGAGGCGGUAGUCCAGGGCAUCAAUUUUAUUUUUUUUUACUACCUAAAUAUAUGUAUAUAUACUCCCAUAAAAAAAUGUUAAAUGCUAGUUGCUAAUGGAAUUAUAGGGGCACUAGGAACUCAAAACUAACAAAUGACGUGAUUAAAUGAAAUAUAGAAUAAAAUCAGUUCAUUACAUGUACCAAAAAAUAUUAAUUACAUUCAUAAUUUUAGCAACUAAAAGCAAAUGAAUAGUCAAAUUGAGGAACUAAAAUUUAAAUAAUGAUAUGGAAUGUUAUCAAUAAUAAAGAGUUAGAUUUUUUUGCCUUUUCAUAUUAACACUCUAAAGUCACAAUAAUUUAUCUAGUUUAUGAGUCUAUAUUCUUUCUAACUCUCAUCCUCUGUGUUUAAUUUAAUCUCUCCAUCUCAAUUUUUAAACAAAAAAUAUUUCUCCGCCUCAAUUUUCCUACUGUUAACACAAGAACAAAUAAAUGCCAAAAACAUAAGUGUGGUAUGUCAUUGAUCAUAACUUCAUAAAAUAUGAGUAGGUGCCAAUUGCAAUUACCAAACAAUUUAUUUAUUAUUCAAUAAUAGUCAUACACAUUUUCACUUUUCAUGAAUCAACAAGUUCAUUUAUUUAGAAGAUGUUAAUUUUAUGAUUUUCACUUUUCAGGAACAACAAGUUUGAUUUAGUGCUUGAAGACUUUUGGAACAAAUUGAUUAGAAUUUAAGUUGAAGUUAAAAAUCAGCAUCCAGGUACUAUUGUUUCAUCUCUUUGAUUGCUUGGAAUGUUGCCUAGAAAACCCUUGUCUGGUCAUCUAAAACGGGAAAGAAAGAAACAAAUUGAAAUUGAUGUUAAAUCUCAAAAGGAUGCUCUCCAUUUUUUUGGCAAAGAUUAUAGAAAGAGGUCUCUUUAUAAUACUUUAUGUUGUGAUGAUACAAACAUUUAAUUACGAUCCUUGUAUGUUGUUUUGAUAAACAUGUCUAUCUUAUAGCCAAUUGGUUCACAUUUCAAAGAUUCAUAUUUGUAUUUUUCUUGCAUAAUGUCAUAUGAAAUGUUUAAUAGUCUUUCCGUUCAUUUCUUUUAAUUUUAUCUAUUUUUAUGGAUUUUGUUUUUAUAGCGGCACCACUCUCUUGAUUCGCCCAAUAUCCAAAUUUAAAGGACUGGCCUUGAUUGACGACCAUUGACUUGAUUACAGAAAUAUACUAAGUAUAAAUUAAUUUUGUUUACCAAAAUCAUUCUAUUUUUUUUAUAGAUUCAAUUCACGGGAGAUUAUUCUUGUUUUUUUUAUUAUCAUUCUAUCAAUACGAAGUUUCCACCACCGGUGAUUAAUCUCUAUUGUAGAAUUUCUGGGACGCGUAUAAGUUGAGUUCUCCCAUUGCCGCUGGAUUUUUCUAUUCAUAAGAGCCUAUGAUCAAACCCUUGAUCACCUAGGUCAACAAUUGUUGGUUACUAACGAGUGUUACAAGACAUUAAAUAUGUGUAUCUAUCUUAACCAAAAUUUAAAUCGUUUAUCUAUCAUUCUUUAUUAAAUGGAUCAUAUAUAUAUAACUUCACUAUUCAAUUAUAAUACUCCAACUGUAUCGGAUCUGCAAAUUUUAUUUGUUUAUUAGUUUAUAGUUGUAAAAGUCUCCGUGCCAUAUACUAAAAUAGAUACCAAUUCUUUUAAAACUAUAAUCAAAUCAUCAUAAUAAAUUCAAUUAACCAAACAUAUGAAGGCCUAACUUACUAGAAAAUUCAAGAUUCUUUCAAAAAUAAGAAAAUCCAAGAUAUGAUCAAACAACAUUGUUAUACCCUGUUUUUGGACCUAAAAAUACUGGGCCCAAUUUCAUUUCAAACUUUGUCAAUUAUCAAAUUUCAACUGUACAGUUCAAAUUGUCUCUGCUACGCAGUGUUUUCAAUCACAACUUUACCUAUGUUUUUUUUCUUGCAUAAAACCUUUCGAAAUGUCUUUCCUUGUCUUGUAAGUCAUUCAAAAGUGUCUCUGAAUCAUUACAUUGCUUUUUCUACAGUUUAUUUCAAAAUUUGCAAAAAGUCNNNNNNNNNNNNNNNNNNNNNNNNNNNNNNNNNNNNNNNNNNNNNNNNNNNNNNNNNNNNNNNNNNNNNNNNNNNNNNNNNNNNNNNNNNNNNNNNNNNNAAAGGUUCAAGUCCAAUUAAUGGCUUGGCACCCAAAAACCAUGAUAACAAACAUCUUUUCACCAAGUGCUAAAAUUAUUUAGUUUUGAUAUUACAUUACGCUAUACAUAUAUAAGUGGUGUUCUAUGUUAACCGCUAAAUAUAAACUUUGAAGUUUUGACAUGAAUACGAUCGUGUUUUUUUAUUCCCAAUCUCAGAGAAAAGAUGUUCUUUUGUACGUGGGCUCGUUGAGAUCGUGCCCUCCUUAAAAGUCUGGGAUCUUGCGAAAUGCAUACCACUCCCUUCAUCACUCAUAGAUUGCGAGAACCGUAGGCCUUUUAUGCAUGUCAUCUCUUUUUGGGUCGUACCAACGUUGCAAUCUUCCUCACUCACCACUAAUUGCAACGCAAACUCUAAACCCCCAACCACUUGACUCAUUGAGGGUCGUUGAAUUCCAUCAUCAUGCAAACAACUUAACGCCAACUUGCAAAAAUAUUCAAAACACUCGCCCGUGAUGGAAUCUCUUAGGAAUGGAUCCACCAUUUGUUCAAUCGCCACACCUUCUUCGUAGCAUCUUUUGAACCAACAAACUAGACUAGCUGUAUUCUUAUCCAAAUCGCGAACCAAAGGUGGCCUAGCACACAACACCUCAAGAAGCACCACACCGAAUGAGUACACGUCUGAUUUAAGAGUAAGCCUUUGGAACAUAUAGUACUCAGGAUCUAAAUACCCCAAGCUUCCCUUAACAAUUGUGCUGACGUGGGUAGUCGAUAUACCUGUCGGUCCCACCUUUGAUAACCCAAAAUCAGAAACCUUAGCUAUCCAUUUCUCAUCCAACAAUAUGUUGGUGCUCUUUACGUCACGAUGUAUUAUCUUGUUUUUAACCUCAGUAUGAAGAUAAUUCAGCCCUCUAGCUGCACCCAAAAGAAUUUCAAGCCUCUGCUUCCAUGGUAGGGGUUGGUUAUUAGAACCAUAAAGAUACUCGCAGAGAGUACCGUGCUGCAUGAACUCAUAGACCAGAAUCAUCUCUGUCUUGUCGUUGCAAUAUCCCACAAGGGAUACCAAGUGAAUGUGGCGAAGCUGGGAGAGCAACUCGAUCUCGUUCAUGAACUCAUUUGCACCUUGUUGAGAGCCCGACCUGAGGCGUUUUAUCGCAACGGGUGUGGAUCCAUCAAUGAAACCUUUGUACACAUUCCCAAACCCCCCAACACCGAUAAUGUUUUCAUCAUCGAAGUUUUUUGUGGCUGCUCUGAUCUCUGCGAUUGUAAAGUAGCGGCACAAAUAGGAUGGUAAAGUUGACGAACCUUCAUUCUUUGUUUUCCAUAAACUUUCUAUCAUUUUAAUAGGAGAUUCAAAUCUCUUUGUCCUUCUAACUAGAACUAUUAUUCCCACAGCAAGAAAUGUGAGCAAGAGAGAUGAAACUCCAACUAUGACUACAGUUGACUUCUUGGACUUUUGUUUUUGAGAUGAUAGUAUAAUGUGUUUGUUGGGAUUCAAACCAGCGAGAUUGUUAUAUUUAUCACUAAUUUUGAAAAUCUCGAUUCCAUUAAGAAUAACAUCACGAUAUACUGUAGGCAUGGGUUGUGGUAAUCGUUGAAGCUUGAUUGAAAGAUAAACUCUUUCAAUUUGAGAGAUUAAUCCCUCCAUAGAAACAACAUAAUCCUUAUGAACAGGAACCAUACGAGCACCACUCCACCCUAUCACAUCCGCCUUUUCUUCAACCAAAGUGUUAUCUAUGAAUAUCUGAAAGACUCUAUCACCUUUAUAGUUGAUAUGCCAAUCAAACUCACAAAAAUGUAACCUUACCAUAUAAGUAAAAGCAGAAUCAACUUCAAAGUUCCAAGUUACAUUAUAAUCCUUUGUCUCAUACAUUCCGUAACUUCUUGCAGUUAAGUACACAACUUCUGGUGCAAUGUAAUUUGGAAUGACAUUGUUUUUAUAUGUUAGGUUAUGUGUAAAGUCACUUGAUACACUAGAUGGGUACUCUUUCUCCAAGUAAAGAGGAAAAUCAUUGCCCCAAUUGCGAAACAUACCUGUAUCAUCACUUGGUGGAACUUGAUUUUGACCAACGUUGACUCUAUAAACCAUCUCCAAAGCUUUGUCUUUAUGAAUUCGGUAUUCCGUGUACUCUGAGUCAACUGGUUUCAAAUAGUAAUUUGGGUCAUUGAGGUUUGUGUAAUAGAGAAAAGAAGGCAUUGACACAACUUCGAUCCCGUUAAUAAAAGCAUAACAAGGAUUUGAUUGGUUUAUGCUGUUAGGAAUGAAAGUUAUGUUUAACUUUUCAUUUGGUUUGAUUUGUAUGCAAUAUUCUUUGGUGAUUUUUUCGUCAUCAAAAUAGAGCCAAAGCAAAGGGUUGAAGUUUUUAAGAAGGGUAAGGUCGUUCACUUUGACAGAGAAAAUUGCACUGGAAGGUUCAAAGUUUUGAUAAGAUGUAGGGUAAAAAUGAAGACGAAGAAAAACAGUGGAAUUAGUGAUGCUAGAAAAUGAGUAUGUGAAAUUUGAGAGAGAAACACGUGCGUGUGUGUAUGGAACUUGGAUAUUUGAGAGGGAAUUAGCUUGUACAUUAAAAGAUGGGUUUGUGGUUUUUGGUUCAAUGAAAGUAAAGAGAUUUUUGUUAUUAAUAUUAUCACCAACCCAAAUUCGUUUAUCUAAGGCAGUAUUGUCGGUUAAGGAGCCACAAUUGAUGGCUAAAUUGUAAUCAGGGUUGUAUGAGUUAGCAACUAAAGGGAAAAGUAGCAAAAAGAGGGAUAGUAUGCUGAUUUUUGUGUAAAUGUUUUUGUUUAUGGAGUUUGCCAUAGCUGUGUGAGAAGAGAGUGAAGAAGAUACAUUAAUUUGAAUGGUACGUAGAAGUUGCAUUUAUUUAUUAUUAUUAGAUUAGAUACAUUGAGAGGUAGGAAAGGAAAUUCCCAUAAAACAACACUUGAGAGUGAUCAACAAAUCCAUUACUUUGAAAUGGUCAAAUGAUCUCCUUUGAGAUAGGAAAACAGAGUGGUGAUACAUGUACCACCCUACGUGACAAUACACCCUUUACAUCCAUACAAGAUUCUGACACGUGGUAACCUAGACCCCACACAAAUAGAAGAUAAAGUAUGGUUGUGAGAUGAACUUACCAAAAUAUCCAUAAUAUAUGGGGUGUACAAUUGAGUGUAUGAAUAAAAGGUGUUCAUGUAACAUUUUUCUAGGAAAACUUUCAUUUCUGUUUUAUAAUUCAAAACCAUACGAAAGAAUAUUUUUUAAUUUUUUUUAUAAGCAAAUAUAUAUUAUUAGGAUUGGAUAUUAGCAAAUAUAUAUUAUAAAGGAAAAGAAAGUGAUCCAGAAGUCCUAUCUAAAUUAUUUUGGUAUAGUGGAAUUGGAUUAGAAUUCUUAAGCAAAGUUUUGGAUUCGAACUUUAUGGAUGACGAAAAUGUAAUUGGAAUGAGAGACUCCAUUAAAGAUGAACAAUUCUUUCUAUAAAAAAAAAUGAUGGUCUAUUCUCACAAAGAUUUGUUAUUAGCCAAUGCGAUAGUUUAAUUUAAACAAAAUAACACGUGCUUGUGUUGGUGUAUUAUUUUUUAAGUCCAUGUUAUGGAUUAGAUGAAAAUUGUAAAUGAAAGAUAGAGAUAAAAAUAUAUGGUAUAAUGUAUCAUAUCCUAAAUUCGAAUUUCAAAUAAUUAAAUUGUAGCCAUCAAAUAGGGAAUUAUUUUCUAAAACGUAUUAGCAGAUAGGGAAAUCACUAAGAAACAACAUCAAUAGGCAGUGGCCACGAAAUUAGUCACAACUUUGAAAUCGUCAAACUUUCCUUUGAUAGGGAUUAGGGAGAUUUAAACGAAUGAGUGGUAGGAGUACACUUGAGCGUAGAAAAAUCUACUCAAAAAUAUGUUUCUAUUUGAGUAUGUGUUAUUCACACAAAAAGUAUGUGCAGAAGUUUAAUAUAGAAAAGGAAAAUUCAUUUUAAACGAAGAAAGUAAAUUAAACGGUUUGUAUAAUUCAACACGAAGGAGAGAAAGUGAUGUUAUAAUGGAGAACAAAUAAUAAACAGAUCUAGCUUUCUUUCUUACAACCAAAUAUAAUAUCCAACUAUGAAAAUUUGGAUCAACAGCGGAUAAGAAAACUUACACACAAGGUUUUGCAACUCGAGAGUUUACCUCAACUCGUUUUAACUAGGUAAACUCGACUCGUAAACUCGAAUCGUAAACUCGUACGAGUUUACCUAAAAUUGAAAUUUUAUACAAUUUAUUAUAUGCAUACAUAUGUAAGCUAAUAUAAUACUGUAAAAAGAUCAAUAGUGAAAAAUAUAGACUUAUAUAUGCAAAGUAAACCAAACCACCAUAAAAAAGUGGUAUGCUUAACUUAGUAUCAAAAUAGAAAAAUUAACACACAAAAGCAUAGGUUUCAUAAGUCUCUAAAGUCUACCCAUCCCAAAAAGAAAGUUUCACAAGUUUAUAAACUUGAGAAUAAAACUAUCCAAAAAACAAACUAGGUAAUUUCUUCGAAAGGUCAAUCUUCUAAAGUUCCAUAACAUCAUUCUCAUUUAUAUCUUCAUCUUAGGAAACCUAAUGUUUCAUUCACUCCCCUGUUCUUGAAAACUCAAAGAAAAUGAUAUGAAAUGUUUCACUUCAGUAAGUUGAAACGUGUUGUAAAGCUAGAAAGUAAAUAUGUUUUCAUUUGGGCUUGAAAAAAAUGGGCCAAAAACAAUGGGCCAUUUUUGAAGGAAAAAAAAUACAGGAGUAAACUCGUAAAAACGGUAAACUCGCCCGAUUUCACAUGAGUUUACUGAGUGUUAACUCGGUCAAACUCGUCAAAAUUUCCGAUUUUACCAGAAAUAGAGUUUACCUCCGAGUUAACACGUUUUUAGCACCUAAACACGUAAACUCGGUAAACUCGCCGAGUUGACACGCGAUUUGUGGAACAUUGCUCACACACCAAACAACAUUCCUCCAACCAUUGUUUUCUUCAUUCGGCGAGUGGUUCGAUAUCGGUAACUUGAUUGAAAGUGAUUCAAUGGUUCUGGUACAAAUAUUAGGGCACCUCUGGUGGAGGAUUUCCAACACUGAGUUUGCCAAGAUGGGAACUCAAAGAAGAUAUUAUGACUGGAGUUUCCAACACUGUUGUUUGAAUGAAAGUUACUUAUUAGGAAUUAAAUGAAAAAUAUUAAAGAGGCCAAUUAAUUUGCAAGAUUAUAGUUUCAGACCAAAUAUAAGUUCUUUAGAAUUCACCAUUAAAAAUGAGUGAUCUAGUUGUUUCAAGAUAUAAUAUGGCAAAAUAAGACCCCAAAAUAACAUUUGGUAGAAUUCACCACAUGAAAUGCUUUUAGAAUUUGGACUGAGCUGCCAAAAUCAAUUCGAAAAUGCGGUACAUUACCACUUAUAAACACAUGUUCAAAUCAUAUAUUAUCCAAUGCGGGACACUUGACACCUCUCUCAUUGUAUAUGAUCCUUUUAGUACUCCUUAGCCAAAAAAACAAUGAUACCCAUGACAAUGAAUUUUGAUAUUGGUCCUGCAAUAUUCCUAUCCACAUAAUAUAAUAAAUAAAUAUACACAAUAUGCUUUGCCUGCUAGAAGUCAUCUAUAUAAUAACAUGCAAUAGUGGGAUCAACGCGGAGACGAAGACUUGAUGAAGUCUUUGAAUAAAUAAUGCCACGAUAAAUUAAAAAUAUGGUGCCAUCACUACAUAAAAAGGAAAAAACUAUAAAUUGACUAUUUUGUCACUAGUUAACGACCAUUGACUUGAUUACAUAAAUAUACUAAGUAUAAAUUAAUUUUGUUUACAAAAAUCAUUCUAUUUUUAUUUUUUAUUUUUUUUAUAGAUUCAAUUCAUUAGAGAUUAUUCUUGUUUUUUUGUUGGUUAUCAUUUUAUCUGUACGAAGUUUCCACCACCGUGUAGCAGUGAUUAAUCUCUGUCGUAGAAUAUGUAUGACACAUAAGUUGAAUUCUCCCAUUGUAACUGGAUAUUUUCUAUUCAAAAGCACCGAUGAUCGACCUCUUGACCCCUUCGGCCAACCAUUAUUGGUCGCUAGAGAUAAUACUAUUCGAGUCGUACAAGACAUAAAAUAUAUGUAUCUCUCAAAGCCGAAGUUUAAAUCUUGGUUCGCUAUACUGUGAGAGUCUAAUCUCUUAUGAUAAACCCAUCCCACUCUAGUUGGUAAUCUAAUAAAUCUAAUAAAUUUAUUAAAUGGAUCAUAUAUAUUUAACUUCAAUAUUCCAUUAUAUUCCAACUGUAUUGGAUCUGCAAAUUUUAUUUGUUUAGUAGUUUAUAGUUGUAAAAGUCUCUCAUACCAUAUACUUAAAAAUAGAUACCAAUUCUUUUAAAACUAUAAUCAAAUCAUCAUAAUAAAUUCAAGGUUUAAUUACACUUUUGGUCCUCGUGUUUUGGCUUACUCACGAAACUGGUCCUGCUCUUUUGAAACAUAACAAAACGGUCAUUCAAUUAUCAUUUUUGUUGCAUUUUUCGUCCUACCCCCCAUUUUAUUCUCCAAAAAUGCAGAGAAAUGAUAGUUUUAGACCUGCCCCCUAUGCUCAACCAUGAAAUAAACAAGGAAAAAAACAUGUGGGUACAAAGAAUCGACUUUAUUCAACACACUAACAAAAAAAUCCUAAUUUCUAAGAUAUGUUACUAAUUAGGUUUUUUUUUUUUCCGAUAGUGUGCUGAAUAGAAUAGAUUUCUUGUGCCCACAUGUUUUAUUCCUUAUUGAUUUCAUGGUUGAGCAUAGAGGUAUGUCUAAAACCGCCUAAAACUGUCAUUUCUCUGCGUUUCUAGAGUUUGAAAAUAGGACGUAGGACGAAAUAUGCAACAAAAAUGAUAAUUGAAGGACCGUUUUGUUCUGUUUUAAAAGGACAGGACCAGUGUGAGUAGGCCAAAACACGAGGACCAAAAGUGUAAUUAAUUAAGCAAACAUAUGAAUGCCUAACUUACUAGAAAAUUCAAGAUAUGAUCAAACAACAUCUUUUCGCUAAGUACUGAAAUUAUUUAGUUUUGAUAUUACAUUACGCUAUACAUAUAUAAGGUGGUGUUCCAUAUUAACUGCUAAAUAUAAACUUUGAAGUUUUGACAUGAAUACGAUCGUCUUUUUUGAUUCCUAAUCUCAGAGAAAAGAUGUUCUUUUGUAAUUGACCUCGCUGAGAUUGUGCUCUCCUUAAAAGUCUGGGAUCUUGCGAAAUGCAUACCACUCCCUUCAUCACUCAUAGAUUGCGAGAACCGUAGGCCUUUUAUGCAUGUUAUCUCUUUUUGGGUCGUACAAACGUCGUAAUCUUCCUCACUCACCACCAAUUGCAACGCAAACUCUAAACCCCCAACCACUUGACUCAUUGAGGGUCGUUGAAUUCCAUCAUCAUGCAAACAACUUAACGCCAACUUGCAAUAAUAUUCUAAACACUCGCCCGUGAUGGAAUCUCUUAGGAAUGGAUCCACUAUUUGUUCAAUCGCCACACCUUCUUCGUAGCAUCUUUUGAACCAACAAACUAGACUAGCAGUAUUCUUAUCCAAAUUACGAACCAAAGGUGGCCUAGCACACAACACUUCAAGAAGUACCACACCGAACGAGUACACAUCUGAUUUUAGAGUUAGCCUUUGGAACAUAUAGUACUCAGGAUCUAAAUACCCAAGGCUUCCUUUCACCAUUGUGCUGAUGUGGGUAGUCGAUAUCCCUGUAGGUCCCACCUUGGAUAACCCGAAGUCGGAAACCUUAGCUAUCCAUUUUUCAUCCAACAAUAUGUUGGUGCUCUUCACGUCACGAUGUAUUAUUUUGUGCUUCACCUCAGCAUGAAGAUAAUUCAGCCCUCUUGCGGCACCUAAUAGAAUUUCAAGCCUCUGCCUCCAAGGUAGUGGCUCGUUAUUAGAACCAUAAAGAUACUCACAAAGAGUACCGUGCUGCAUGAACUCAUAAACCAAAAUCAUCUCUGUGUCAUCGUUGCAAUAUCCCACGAGGGACACCAAGUGAAUGUGGCGAAGCUGGGAGAGCAACUCGAUUUCAUUCAUGAACUCGUUGGCACCUUGUUGAGAGCCCGAUUUGAGGCGCUUAACCGCAACAAGUGUGGAUCCAUCAACACAACCUUUGUACACGUUGCCAAACCCUCCAACUCCGAUGAUAAAAGCAUCAUCGAAGUUGUUUGUAGCUGCUUUGAUCUCUGCGAUUGUAAAGGAGCGGCACAGAUGGGGCGGCAAAGACUCCCCGUUCUUUGUCUUCAAUAAAUUAUCUUCCAUGACAUUAUGACACCUUCUUAUUAUCCAAAAAACAGUGAUACCCAUGGAAAUUGCUAGCACAAGGCCAGAAACUGAAGUCACAACAACAAUAGCCACAAGUGGGGUGAUCUUAGUUAUUUUUGACGAUUGGGUUGAAACUGCAAUCGCGAGAUUGUUAUUUUUGUCACUUAUUUUUAAAAUCUCGAUUCCAUUCAAUAUGAAACCAUUGUAUUCUGUCAAUGGUUGAAGCUUGAUUGAAAGAUUAGCUCUUUCAAGUUGAGAGCUUCCUUCUUGAUAGUCCAUAGACAUUGCAUAAUCCUUAUGAACAGGAACCAAACGAGCACCACUCCACCCUAUCACAUCCGCCUUUUCUUCAACCAAAGUGUUAUCUAUGAAUAUCUGAAAGACUCUAUCACCUUUAUUUGUUAUAUCCGGAUCAAACUCACAAAAAUGUAACCUUACCAUAUAAGUAAAACCAGAAUCAACCUCAAAAUUCCAAGUUACAUUGAAAUCAUUUUCCCAACUACUAGACACACCAAAACCAUUUGAUACCAAUAAUUUCAUUUCUAAACUUCUUGCAGUUAAAUAAACAGCUUCUGGUGCAGUGUAAUUUGGAAUGGCAUUUUUUAAAUAGUUUAGAUGAUGUUCAUAAUCAUUUGAUACGCUUAGCGGAUAUUGUUUCUCCAAGUAACGAGGAUAAUCAUUGUCCCAAUUACGAAACAUACCUGUAUCUUGGUUUGGUGGAACUUGAAUUCGACCAACGUUGACUCUAUAAACCAUCUCCAAAGCUUUGUCAUUAAGAAUUUGGUAUGGUAUAUCUUCAGAGCCAUCUAACUUGAUACGAUAAUCUUGGUCACUGAGGUUUGUGUAAUAGAGAAAAGAAGGCAUAGACACAACUUCGAUUCCGUUAAUGAAAGCAUAACUAACAUUUGAUGUGGGAAUGAAAGUUAUGUUUAGCUUCUCAUUUGUUUUAAUUUGGAUGCAAUACUCUUUGAUGAUAUUAUUCUCAUCAUGAUGAAGCCAAAGUGAAGGGUUGAAGUUUUGAAGAAGGGUGAGAUUGUUGUUUACUUUGACAGAGAAAAGUGCAUUUGAGGGUUCAAAAUUUUGAUACGAUGCAGGGUAAAAAUAAAGGCGAAGAAAAACAGGGGAAACAGUGAUGCUAGAAAAUGAGUAUGUAAAAUUUGAGAAAGAGACACGUGCGUGUGUGUAUGGAACUGUGAAAUUUGGGGAUUUAAGUGAUGUUUUAGGAGAUGGAUUAGUGGUUUUUGGUUCAAUGAAAGUAAAGAGUUUUGUGUUAUCAUUAUUAUCACCAACCCAAAUUCGACUAUCUAAGGCAGUAGUGUUCGUUGAGGAGCCACAACUAAUGGCUAUAUUGUAAAUUGGAUUGUAUGAGGUAGCUAGUAGAGGGAACAGUAGCAAAAUGAGAGAAAGUAUGCUGAUUUUUGUGUAAUUUUUUUUGUUUAUGGUGUUUGCCAUAGUUGUGUGAGAAGAGAGUGAAGAAGAUACAUUAAUUUGAAUGGUACGUAGAAGUUGCAUUUAUUUAUUAUUAUUAGAUUUGAUACAUUUAGAGGUAGGAAGGGAAAUUUCCAUAAAACAACACUUGAGACUGAUCAUUGAAAUGGUCAAAUGAUCUCCUUGGGAAGCAAUUAGGAUCACGUAAUUGUGGAGAUAGGAAAACUCUCAUUUCUGUUUUAUAAUUCAAAACCAUACGGAAAAAUAUUUUUUAUUUUUUUUAUAAUCAAAUAUAUAUUAUUGGGAUUGGAUAUAAGCAAAUAUAUGUUAUAAAGGAAAAGAAAGUGAUCCAGAAGUCCUACUUAAAUUAUUUUGGUAUAGUGGAAUUGGAUAUAAGAUGCGAAUUUUCAAUUUUAUUUUAUUAUUUAAAAAAAAAUAUGUUUGGUUAACAUUACAAUAUUCUCAAGAACCUUUAAAUAGGGUGAUUAAUAGACAAGUUACACAUAAAUUUAUUCUCAUUUUUAUGAGAAUUUUAUUCUCACUCUUUCCGGUGGUAAAAAAUUUCUAUUCCAGGAACCUUUUAUACGCAGGAAUAAAAUUUUUGUAAAUUUAUUAAGAAACAGCACCAAUGACUGGCCACAAAAUUAGUUGCAAGUUUGAAAUCUUCAAACUUUCCUUUGGAUGAUAGGGAUAAUUUAAAACGAAUGAGUGGUAGGAGUUCACUUGCGACACUUGCGACAUUAGUCGCAAGGUUAAAUUUGAUUUUUUUUUUGAACAAAGUCGCAAGGUUAAUCAUUCACAGUCGCAAGGAAUAUAAUUUCUUGUUUUUUUGUUCUUUUUUCUUUCUUUGAUUCCCUUUUAUUUGUCUUUUCUCUAUAAUUUCUAGGUAUCCUUUAUUUAUCUCUAUUUGAGUAUGUGUAGGUUUUAUUCACACAAGAAAAGUAUGUGUAGAAAAGGAAAGAUGAAAUUUUAAACAAAAAAAGAAAAUUAAACGGUUUGUAUAAUUCAACACGAAGGAGAGAAAAGUGAUGUUAUAAUGAAGAUUUUAGGAUAAGUAAGAUCAAUGAAUUUUGAUAUUGGUCCUGCGAGGGUUUUUUUUUUUUAUUACUUAUUUUAAAAAUCAUUAUUCCAUUCAAUAUCACAUCAGCGUAUUUUGUGUAGAUAGCUUCUGUACUCGUUCAAGCUUGAUUUUUUAUUUUAUUUUUAAGGGAAACGUCCUUACAAUAUUUCAUUAAUAAUAAUAGUUUCAAUACAAGUUGGUAUAUCAUAAUAAACGGCGGGAUUAACUAAAGACGUGACCUCUCGUGCAAGAGCAUGAAUAACCGCGUUGGCUUGUCGCUUAACAAACUCCAUCCUAGAGUUAGAAAAUAAAUUGCGAAACAAAGAACGACAGGAAAAAAUAAUGCAACCAAAUUCAGACAAGUCGUUCCUGGUAGAAAGGAAUGCAUCAACUGUUAAUUUAGAGUAUGUUGCAAAGUCGAUGUUAUCAAUCAGCAUAUCACUCAGCCAUUGCAAAGCAGAGUGCAGCCCUAAAGCUUCUCCCACAUCCACCGAAACAGUACAAGGAUAUGUAAUAGUCUUGGCCAUAACAAAAAUACCUUCCGAGUCGCGAACACAAAUGCCAAUACCUAUGCGGUUAUGAUGAGAAGAAAAAGUUGCGUCGAUAUUACAUUUAUAUCUACCUGGCAUAUGAGGCUGCCACAAGAUCAUGUUGUGUUGGUGUGAGGUGGAGGCCCCCGUAUGCGCAACCAUAGCAUGCUGAGAAGCUGAAGUAGAUGCAAGGGUAUCCGGAGCAUUCGCCAAAUGCCAUAGCAUUGUCCAGAAUGGAACGUCCGGGAACAAACGUGGACUGAUUGUCAGAGAUGCACUGAGAUAAUACAUUCUUCAACCUGUUCGCUAGUACUUUAGAAACAAUUUUAUAUAGCACAUUGAACAGUGCUAUUGACCGCCAAUCUUUCAUGCUAACCUGCGUAGAACCUUUUGGAAUAAGGGCAAUGUUAGUAAUAUUUAAAUCAGGGGGAAACUGUCCCGUGUCUAGCCAACCACAACAUUCCUAAAAAUGUCAUCACUGCAUAAAUUCCAAAAGUAUUGGUAAAAACCCGGACUAUAGCCAUCAGGGCCGGAGUACUUGUCCGGAUGCAUAGAGAAAAUAGCAUCUCGAAACUCGGCCUUAGUAAAAGGUGUCGUGAGAAUAAUAUAAUCAUGAACAGAGAUAGACGGAUUAAUAACAUCUAUGACAGAAGAAAAAUCACUAUCCUGCUGUUGAAAAAUAUUCACAAAAUAAUUCUGCGCUACUUCUUGCAAACCUUGUUCACUAGUAACCUUAUUUCCUACAUCAUCAUCAAGAGAGGUUAUACGGUUUAACUUUUUCCGAGCUGUUGCCGAUGCAUGAAAAAACUUUGUAUUUCUAUCACCAUCCUUGUACAAGUGUGCUUUAGCACGUUGACGCCAAUAUAGGCAUCGUCUUAGGACAUCAGCCGUUGCAAGCGUUUCCUUAGCUCAAACAUGCGAGUUUGGUCCUCACCAGUAGCUUGCAGCCGCGUGUCUUGCAUUUCUUUGCAACAAUUGUCAAUAUCGCGCUUUAAAUUGUGGCAAUGAGUCUUUCUCCAGACGGACAUAUCCUUCCCGCAUGAUAUCAAUUUUGGAAUAAUCGUUGAAGCUUGAUUGAAAGAUUAACUCUUUCAAUUUGAUUCCUUCCUCCUUGAGAGUACAUAUGAACAAGCACAAUCCUUAUUGACAGGGAGCACCAGCCCAUGCAAUCACAUCAGCAUAAUGUUCAGCCAAAAUAUCAUCUAUAAACAUAUGAAAAACUGUAUCACCUGAAUUCUUUAUAUGUCAAUCAAACUCACAAAAGUAACCUUACCAUAUAAGUAAAACCAGAAUCAACUUCAAAAUAAGUUGAUGGACAGGAUAGAUAGAGUGAAAAAAGAGAAAACUUUGAAAACUAAUUCUUAAUACAUUUCUACUCAUUUCACCAUUACUAAUUUGACACAUUGCCUUUACUUUCUCAGUUUAUAUUGAGUGUAACUAAAUUUUUACUUGGAAGAAUUGGGAUUUGAACAUGAGAGUUUGAAGAGUAGCACAUUCAACUCUAAGAUUCCAAGGCAAUACCACCACACCUACCCAACUGCGUUUUCUCUUGGCUAAAAUUGAAUUUUAAAAUAUGAUUAAGGUUAACUCAAUCAACAUCACUAAAAUUGUAAUAGCUUACCUCCCCUCCCAUUAAAAAAGACCCAAUUUCGGGGAGCAAAUAUUGAGUUUGUGAGAGAUUUUGUGUCCCACUUAUUCCCUCUUCAAAAUUGAACCAACACAUAUGAUUAACAACAUUUCCUCCUCUCCUCUCCCCUCCAUCUACCCCGAACCAAAAUAGAAGUGUUGGAAAUAUAGAAUUAUCAUUAAAUAGUAAAUCAAAGAGAAAUAUUAGCAGGAAUAAAUUUAAUAUAAAUAAAAUAAAUAGAGUAUUGAAAACUUAUUGAUCUUAUGAACUAAGGCGUGCCAAUGCAUUGAGCUUAAGAGUUUUCGCUACCAAAUAUAAGUUACCCGAUGUUGUUGGUCUCAUAGCUAGUACUCUUCAGGAUACAACAGUCACUUCUUGCUAACACUGCACAUGAAUUAGCAAGGGAACUUAAGUGUUCUUAAUACACGAAAAAGAGACUUACAACAUUUCAUUAAUCAAAAUAUGUUCAAUACAAUUUGAUAUGUUAACUAAUUUCUGGAAACUAGCUGAUAAUGGGUCCGUCUUAGCAAACCUUUAUUUUUGAGGGGAAAGGACUUGUAACAUUUUUAAUCAAAAUAUGUUCAAUACAAUUUGGUUUGUUAACCAAUAUAUGAAAACUAAGUGAUAAUGGGACCGCCUAAGCUAACUCAUGGGCAACCGUAUUUGCUUGUUACUGCACAAAACCCACACUAGAGUUUUCAUAAUUUAAACUAAAGUGAGUUUUACAAUUUCACUACGAGAAAAAUUUAAAAUAGAGACGAGAGAUAUUUGUCUCUAAAUUGCAAAAUUUGUCACUAAGCUUGUUAGAGACGGAAUUGGAGAUGGAUCAAGUUCCGUUGUUAAUGUCGUCGUCACUAAGCUUGUUAGAUAUGGAUUUUAUAUUUCCGUCUUUGAUUGGAAUCGAAAAAAUUAUGUUUCCGAUUGAAGAUGGAAAAAAUUUCGUCUCUGACCGAAGAUGAAAUAAUUAUGUCGCUAACUAUAAAAAACCGUCGCUCAUUGAUGUUGCUAGAACGAAACAACUCCGUCUCUAAGGUAUAUAAUUGCGUUCUAUUGAGACGGACAUUUCUAAUAAUGUUUUUUUUUUUUUAAAUUAAAAAAAAAUCUGCCUCUGAAGAUUUCAGCGAGUUAUAACUUUUGCUGUUUGUUUGAUUUUGGCUUGGCUGAGAUGCUUAGACUUUAUUUUGUAAGACAACUAUAUUUUUUGCUUACCUGCAUUUCGAAUAUAUUUUGGUUUAUUUGUGUUAUGAAUAUGUCGAAUUCGUUAUGUUUAAUUGUUGAGGAGAAGUGCCACAUAUUAGGAAGCAUGUUAUGGCUAAUUGAAUGAAUAGCAUGUAUAUUUGAGAGGAGAGAGAUGGAUGAAAAGGAAGAGAGAUAAAGUGUUUGGGUGACAUAGAGUUGGGUGACAUUGGUCAAUCACAAUGCUACAAUGCUUGUGUUUCUCUCUCUCUUUCACAAGCAUCGUGACAUUGUGAUUGACCAAUGUCACCAAACUCUAUGUCACUCAAUUGCUGUCCGUAGGCCACACAUCACAUAUUUAUGUGGAGUUUUAAAUGUGUAUGCCACUUAUGAAUUUGCAUCUAUCACCACUCAUAUAAUAACAUGUAAUAGUGGGAUACAACGAGGAGACGAAGACUUUAUGAAGUCUUUGAAUAAAUAAUGCCAUAAUAAAUAAAAAAAUAUGGUGCCAUCACUAUACAUAAUAAGGCAAAAACCAUAAAUUGACUAUUUUGUCACUACUUAGCUAGUUGACGACCAUUGACUUGAUUACAUCCUCUCUUUUUAGAGGAAAUUUGACUACAUCAUCUUCUUAAUUUUAUUGGUUGGUUUUAAGUUACGGAUUGAGAGUCUCAAAUUAGAUGCAUGCCUAAUAUUGUUAUGUUUUUUCCUUUAUAAAACGUAUCAUUUACCUUACAACUUCGGAUCGAUAAAAGAUUGAAUUAACUCCAACUCAAAUUCUCAAAAUAUACUAGUAUGUAUAAAUUAAUUUUGUUUACAAAAAUCAUUCUAAUAUUUUUUUUAGAUUCCUUUCACAAGAGAUAGUUUGUUUUUUUUGUUAUCAUUUUAUCAAUACGAAAUUUCCACCGUCAUGUAGUAGUGAUUAAUCUCUUUCGGAGAAUAGGUGGAGCACAUAAGUUGGAUCUUCCAUUAUAAAUAGAUUUUUUUUAUACGUAAGAGUCGGGGAUCGAACACUUGAUCACUUCGGCCAAUCCAUUAUUGAUCACUAUAGAUAUUCUAUUCGAGCCGUAGACACUAAAUAUGUGUUUUCAAAUUCAAGAAAGAAAGAAAAAAACUAAUGGAAAAAAAAAAAAACCAAAACGCGCAACCGAGAAAACAAACGGCAGAAUAAACAAAGGGUAAAAUUUGCUUCAAAAUUGCGGGGGAUUUAAACUGUCGUGGAAUGAUGACCUUACCAAAGAGGAGUGUCACUUUUUAAACCAAUUUGAGGGAGUUUUAUGAAACCUCUUCAAAAUAACCGCCGCUAUGAAGCACGUUUUUAGUAGUAUUCUCACUAGAAAUUUAAAUCUUGGUUCGCUAUAUUGUGAGUCUAAUCUCUUCUGCUAAAUCCAAUCUAGUUGGUAAUCUAACGCUACUAAUAAAUUUAUGGGUUAAUAGUGUUUUUCACCCCUGUAAUAUAGGCCAUUUCCGGUUUUCGCCCUUAUAAAAUUUUCGGUUUGAUUUCUGUCCUUGUAAAUUUUUUUUUUUUUUUCCGGAAUAUCCCCCUCCUCCCUCCAACUCAGCAAAUCAGCCUAUGUGGCGCUGACAAGGAAUUUUUUUUUUCACUUGCCACGUGUAUAAUUCGUUUUUUUUUUAAAAAAAUUGUGAAAUUUUAAUUUCGUUUUUUAAUUUUAAUUUUAAAAAACUCAAUUUUUGUUUUAAUUGUUUUAUUUUUUAAAAUAUUUGAAAAUUAAUUUUCAAAAAUAAAAAAAAAAUAUUCGGAUUUUUUUCCAAAAAUUUAGAAAUAUUAAAAAAAUAUUAAAAAUAUGAUUUUUUAGAAUUUUUUAAAAUUUUAGAAAAUGAUUUUUUUUAAAUUUUAAUUUCAAAAAUGAUUUUAUAAAAAUCUAGAAUAAAAUCUGAAUUUUUAAAAAAAAUUGUAUCCAGAUUAAUAAAAAAAAUAUAUUUUCCAUAAAAAAAAAAAAUGACUUUUUUAAAAAAAUUUCGAAUUUGUUUCUUCUAAUUUAACUUUUUUUUUUAUUUUGAAAAUUAAAUUCCAGAAUCUUUAAAAAAAAAUCGAAUAUUUUUUCUGAUUUUUUUAAUAUUCGAAUUUAAAAUAAAACCGAAAAAUUCAAAAAAAAUCUUAUCGUUUUUUCUGAUUUUUUUAAUAUUUGAAUUUUUUCUUUUUCGAUUUUUAAAUUUUUUGGAAAAAAAUCUGAAUAUUUUUUUUAUUUUUGAAAAUUAAUUUUCAAAUAUUUUAAAAAAUAAAAUCUGAUGUAGAUAAUUAAAAAAAAAAUUAGUUUUUUAAAAUUAAAAUUAAAAAACGAAAUUAAAAUUUCACAAUUUAAAAAAAAAAACGAAUUAUACACGUGGCAAGUGAAAAAAAAAGAAAAAUAAAUUCCAUGUCAGCGCCACAUAGGCUGAUUUGCUGAGUUGGAGGGAGUAGGGGGGUAUUCCGGAAAUUUUUUUUUUUUACAAGGACAGAAAUCAAAUCGAAAAUUUUAUAAGGGCGAAAACCGGAAAUAGCCUAUAUUACAGGGGUGAAAAACACUAUUAACCCUAAAUUUAUUAAAUGGAUCAUAUAUUUAACUUCAAUAUUCAAUUAUACUCCAACUGUAUUGGAUCUGCAAAUUUUAUCUGACUAUUAGUUUAUAGUUGUGAAAGUCUCUCAUACCAUAUGCUAAAAAAUUAGACAUCAAUUCUUUUAAAACUUUAAUAAAAUCAUAAUCAUCAGUUCAAUUAAUCAAACAUAUGAAGGCCUUACUUACUAGAAAAUUCAAGACAUGAUCAAACAACAUCUUUUUGCUAAGUGCUAAAAUUAUUUAGUUUUGAUAUUACAUGUUUACGCUAUACAUAUAUAAAGUGUUGUUCCAUAUUAAUUGCUAAAUGUAAACUUUGAGGUUUUGACAUGAAUAUGAUCGUGGUCUUGGAUUCACAAUAUUCGAGAAAAAAUGUUCUUGAGUACUUGCCCUCGCUGAGGCUGUGCUCUCCUUGUAGGUGUGGGAUCUUUCGAAAUGUUGGUCACACUCUUGAUCACUCAUAAACUGCGAGAAUUGUUGGCUACCUUCUUCACUCACCUCCAUUUGCAACGCAUACUCCAAACCUAUAACAACUUGACUCAUUGAUGGACGUUGAGUCCCAUCAUCAUGCACACAACUCAACGCCAGCUUGCAAUAAUAUUUCAAGCACUCCUCUGUGAUAGAACCCCUUAGGAAUGGAUCCACUAUUUGUUCAAUUGCCACACCUUCAUCGUAGCAUUUUUUAAACCAACAAACUAGACUUGCUGUAUUCUUAUCCAAAUCACGAACCAAAGGUGGUCUAGCACACAACACCUCAAGAAGCACCACACCGAAUGAGUACACAUCAGAUUUUAGAGUUAGCCUUUGGAGCAUAUAAUAUUCUGGAUCCAAAUACCCUAGGCUACCCUUCACCAUCGUGCUAACAUGGGUUGUAGACAUCCUUGUCGGUCCCACUUUCGAUAAUCCAAAAUCAGAAACCUUAGCCACCCAUUUCUCAUCCAACAAUAUGUUGGUGCUCUUCACGUCACGGUGUAUUAUCUUGUGUUUCACCUCUGCAUGAAGAUAAUUCAGCCCUCUCGCGGAACCCAAUAGAAUCUCAAGCCUCUUCUUCCACGGUAAGGGCUGGUUAUUAGAACCAUAAAGAUACUCACACAGAGUACCGUGUUGCAUGAACUCAUAAACCAAAAUCAUUUCUGUGUCAUCAUUGCAAUAUCCCACGAGGGAUACCAAGUGAAUGUGGCGAAGCUGGGAGAGUAACUCGAUCUCAUUCAUGAACUCGUUGGCACCUUGUUGAGAGCCAGAUUUGAGGCGUUUUAUCGCAACAGGCAUGGAUCCAUCGAUGCAACCUUUGUACACGUUGCCAAAUCCUCCAACACCGAUGAUGAAAACAUCAUCGAAGUUAUUUGUGGCUGCUUUGAUCUCUGCGAUUGUGAAGGAGCGACACAAAUGUGGUGGCAAAGAUGACGACCCUUUGUUCUUUGUCUUUGAUGAGCUAUCUUUCAUGACAAUAUGAAGCUUUUUCCUUAGCCAAAAAAAUGUGUUGCCUACGAUCAUUGCUAGCAAGAGGCUGGAAACUACAAUCGUCGCAACAAUCGCUAUGGUGAUCUUAAUUUUUUUUGGUGAUUGGGUUGAAAAUUCCUGAUCAAUGGAUUUUGUUAUUGAUCCUGCGAGAUUGUCGUUGUAGUCACUUUCUUUUAAAAUCUGGAUUCCAUUCAAUAUGACAUCGCGGUAUUUUGUGUGGUUAGUUGCUCUCUGUAGCUUGAUUGUAAGAUUAACUCUUUCAAUUUGAGUGCUUCCUUCUUCAGAGUGCAUAGUCACAACAUAAUCCUUAUGAACAGGAAUCAAACGAGCAUUGCUCCAUGAAAUCACAUCAGCAUUUGGUUCAGCCAAGAAAUCAUGUAUAAAUAUCUGGAAAACUCUAUCACCUUUAUCCUUGAUACGCCAAUCAAAUUCACAAAAAUGUAACCUGACCAUAUAAGUAAAUGUUGAGUCAACUUCGAAAUUCCAAGUUACAUUGUAAUCCUCUGUGACAUUCAUUCCAUAACUUCUCGCAGUUAGGUAUACAGCUUCUGGUGCGAUGUAAUUUGGAAUUGUAUUGUUUUUAUAGUUGAGAUGAUUUACAAAAUCACUUGAUACACUUAGUGGAUAUUGUUUCUCUAAGUAACGAGGAUAAUCGUUAUCCCAAUUACGAAACAAACCAGUAUCUAGGUUUGGUGGAACUUGAUUUUCACCAACGUUGACACUAUAAACUGUCUCCAGAGCUUUGUUGUCUGAGUCAAGUGAUUUGAAGUCAUAAUUUGGGGCAUUGAGGUUUGAGUAAUAGAGAAAAGAAGGCAUAGACACAACUUCAAUUCCAUUAAUGAAAGCAUAAUAAGGAUUUGAAUGGUUUGUGUUGUUGGGAAUGAAAGUUAUGUUUAGCUUCUUAUUCGGUUGGACUUGGAUGCAAUAUUCUUUGGUGAUUGUUUCCCCAUCAUCAUGAAUCCAAAGUGAAGGAUUGAAGUUUUUAAGAAGUGUAAGUUUGUUGUUUACUUCAACAGAGAAAAGUGCAUUUGAGGGUUCAAAUUUUUGAUACGAAGUAGGGUAAAAAUGAAGGCGGUUAAAAACAGGGGAAGUAGUGAUGUUAGAAAAUGAGUAUGUGAAAUAUGAGAGAGAGAUACGUGCGGUUGUGAAUGGAAUUUGAGUAUUUGAGAGGGAACUACGUGGUGUUGUAAGAGAUGGGUUCGUGGUUUUUGGUUCAAUGAAAGUAAAGAUAUUUUUGUUAUCAAUAUUCUCACCAAUCCAAAUUCGUUUAUCUAAGGUAGUAGUGUCUGUUAGGGAGCCACAAUCGAUAGCUAAAUUGUAAUCAGGGUUGUAUGAGUAAGCAAUUAGAGGGAACAAUAGCAAAAAGAGAGAUAGUAUGCUCAUUUUUGUGUAAAUGUUUUUGUUUAUGGAGUUUGCCAUAUCUGUGUGAGAAGAGUGUGAAGAAAAUAGAUCAAUUUGAAUGGUACGUAGAAGUUGCUUUAUUUAUUAUUAUCUUAUACAUUGAGUAGGAAGGGAAAUUUCCAUAAAACAGCACUUGAGACUGAUCAUUGAAAUGGUCAAAUGAUUUCCUUGGGGAGCAAUUAGGAUCACAUAAUUGUGGAUAGGAAAACACUCAUUUCUUUUUAUCAAUUGAAAACCAUAGGAAGGAAAUAAUAAUACUAAUGCACUUCAUUUUUUUUUACAAUAUUGGAGUGACAUAUUUAUUUAUUUCACAGUUCACACAUAUUUAGAAAAACUAUGACUAAAAGAAAAAUUAUAAUUUUAUCAAACUAAACAUUUUUUUUUGUAAGUAACAUGGUGGCUGAAGUUCACAUUUUUAAAUGUUGAUGUACAGGUUCAAACUCAAGCCCUUACAUAUAUAUAUAUGGGUUUGCUAGAACACACCCACUAGUUUUUAUGUGGGAGUGUUUUAGCAAAGCUACACCUUAAGAUGUAUUUAACCACUUUUUAGUUAUUCACUUGCUAAAAUACUCCUUCUAAAAACUAAGUGGGUGUAUUUUAGCAAAUGCUUAUAGGAUUUGCUAGAACACACCCACUUGCUUUUUCUAGAAGGUGUGUUACUUAUAGCAACAUACACCUUAAGGUGUAUUUAUUAACUUUUUAGUUAUAACUUGCUAAAACACUCCCACAUAAAAAUUAGUGGGUGUGUUCUAGCAAAUCCCAUAUAUAUAUAUAUAUAUAUAUAUAUAUAUAUAUAUAUAUAUAUAUAUAUAUAUAUAUUAACACUCAAAUCAAACCCAAAAUAUGCAAACAUGCUAAACAGAAAAUAUAUUAGCCAUGAAAAGCUUUACAAACCUAAAAGUGCAAAGCCAUAAAGGAUGUGCCAAAAUACAGUAAUAAAAAGGUCUCAAGAUAUUUGCAACAACAAACUGAUUAGUUUUAGAAUGACCGUCUUUCUUCAUUUGAUUCAUAAGUGUUACCUUCCUUCUCUUUCAUUUGAAGUAAUUCAUACCGUCUCUUGUGAGUUUAUAAUCUAACCUUGUCUGCAUCUGCACCUGCAUAAGCUUUCUCCCAGCUUUCCCAUGCUUCAUUUGCAGAUUAAGCAUCACUAACUCUUUUCAAAAUGAGCAGUGCUAUUUCAGCAAUGGAUGAUAGUAGUAGUCAAUCAGUGCAAUUCACAGUCCAUUCUCGAUACAAUCUCUCGCGAUAUUUAGCAUUAGUCUUUCAAAAUUUGCAGGAUCAACAUAUUGGUGAAUGAUGAAUAAAUCCUAUUUAAGAGGACAUCAACUUAUUUGUAAUAAAUAACACGGUGUCACCUAUUUAACACGGUUAACAUUGCAUGAUCAAAUUAUAAAGGAUCAUGUUAGCAACUAGCAAGUGUUUUGACUUUUGAGGGUAUUGUAGAAGGAAUGGUCACUAUUAUAAAUAAAUUUUGACUUUUUAGAUUUAUUUAAUAAAUGAUGUAAAAAAUUGCUUAUAAACUAAAUACAUCAUUUAUUAAAUAAAUCUAAGAAGUUAAAAAAAUAUUUGUUUUGGAAAUACAAGUUAAAGUAGUCUCGAAGUAAUAAUUACAUCUUUUUCUAUGCAAAAGUUACUUUUUUUUUUAGGGAAAAAAGUUACUUUUUUAGGUUGUUUAAACAAUGAAAAUCAACUAGACUCUUGACCCGUGCUGCCAUCCAAAUAGAAGUUAAACGAAUAAUUCGCAACAAUUUAAACAUAUAUAGUUAGCAACAUCAAUCUAUAAGUUAUAUCAUUUUCAUGAUUUUCUUUGCUUUACAACAUCUGUUUUUUAAAAACAAACUCAACCUAUAAUUCCUCUGAAAAUUUUAAUUUAACAAUAUCAACUUAUAAUAACUUCUAUUAGUUUCAGGAUUUUGAAUGCUCACCAACAUUUGUUUGUCUAAUAACAAACGAAACCUAUAAUUCCUAUGGAAAUUUUAAUUUAACAGUAUCAACCUAUAAUUUCUAUUAGUUUGACGAUUUUGAAUGUUGGAACUACAUCUGUUUUUCUAAUAACAAACUAAACCUAUAAUUUCUCAGUUGCAAAACUAGCUUGCUCAAAAAAUGGAGCGCCCCUUAAGAAAUAGUAACCUAUCACUUAGAAUACGUAUUAUGUGUUGUAGAGCAUACCUAGUCUGGGUGGUACUGACAUAAUACGUGCGCCAUUUUAGUUUCAACAACAUCAUAUAUGCCGGGUCUUAAACGUGAUAUUCCCUCAAUGCAACAUCUGCAGAAGAAUGGUUUCAAUAAAAUUGUGAAAAAUUGCUGUCAACAAAUUAUAACACAAACACAUAUAAAAAAUGCACUUACCUCUGCAUGAGUAAAGAGCGAAAUCAGUAAGAUUUUUCGUAGACUUAAGAUCUAACAUUCUUGAUUGACAGUUUGGCUACUGUAUUUUUUGUUGAUAUGAAAAUCUGCCACUAAGGUAGAAGAAAAAGGGUUUUUUCUAGAUUACCCUCUCUUAUUUAGAGGGUAUUUUACAUGAUAUCAACCAAUCAAAAUGUAAUAUACAUUGAUAACAUUAAAUGUCAUAAAUGAGUCAAUUCUUUUCUAAAAAAAGAAUCAAUUAUAAUCAUAAGGUAACUUUUAAUACUUUUAAUUUUUAUUUAAUUAUAGAAAUGAUUACAUUAGAGAUCUUUUAUCUUAUUUAUUUGUUACACUUGGGUCCUUUAUCUUUAUUUUUUUUCACUUAGGUCUUUUAUCUCUUAUAAAAGCACAUAUACAUCAUUUUUCUCAUUUUUUUAUUAAAAAAAAAUACAUAAUUUUAUUUUUUAAAAUAUCUUUUUAUUAAAAAUGAAACAAAUCCAGAAAUAUGAUGAAGAUGUUCAUCAUCUUCAUCUUCCUCCUUUGAAUCUUCAUUGAAUCAAAAAAAUUUAUACACAAAUAUAUCUCCAAAUAUCAUGAAUUAAUGUUAUAUUCACCUCAAAUUUUCUUUUAAACACAAAAAUCAAACCCCUAUAGAGAAAGAGAUUUAGUUUCAUCACAAAAAAAAAAAUAGUUAUAUAAAUUGUCAAAGCUGUAUAUUAUUAUUAUUAUUAUUAUUAUUAUUAUUAUUAUUAUUAUUAUUAUUAUUAUUAUUAUUAUUAUUUUCUAACUCAAUAUUCAAGCCCGACAUAAAAAUAACCUCAAAAUUGAUAGCAGCUUUGCACAUCAAUUUUGUUGUUUCCAGAACAAUCUUAACUUUCGUAAAGCCUAACCCUUCCGCCAGUGACUAAGCCUCCACCAUCCGCCUUGCAACAUUUGUGAAAUUAAGGUUUUGAUUUUUGUGUUUAAAAUAAGAUUUUAGGUGAAUAUAACAUUAAUUCACGAUAUUUGAAGAUAUAUUUUAGUAGAUUUUUUUAUUUUAUUUAAAGAAGAUGAUGAAGAUUCAAAGGAAGAACAUCUUCAUCAUAUUUUUGGAUUUUUUUUCAGUUUUAAUAAAAAUAUAUUUUUAAAAAUAAAAUUAUGUAUUUUUUAAUAAAAAAAAAAGCGAAAAAAGACGUAUAUGUGCUUUUAAGAGAGAUAAAGGACCUAAACGGGAAAAAAAUAAAGACAAAGGACCAAAGUGUUACAAAUAAAUAAGAUAAAGGACCCAUAAUGUAAUAUUGCCUUAAUUAUAUUUAGGUGUUCAAUCUUAAUUAAUUUACACUACAUGACUGACUUAGAACAAUUAAAAUUUCACAUGAAUAUAUAGAACCUCUUAAAUAGCAAUGACCAUUCACUUCUUGAAGCAAUAAAUCCUCUUCAUUGGAGAGGAGAGAUAAAUUGCAUUAAUGUUAAUUGCAUAGAUGAAGGUUGUACCGUUAAUAUACAUGGAAUGUUAUGAGAUCUACGGUUGAAAUGUAGAGGGUGGUUAAACCAUGCCUAGAUACCCAAAGACCGGUUAACUGAGCUAAUUAACAUUAUGAGAUCUACGGCUGAAAUGAAGGAAGUGGUUCACUGAGUUGAUUAACAUUAAUUACGUAAUUACGUAAGAGAAAAUGUGUAUGAUUAACAUUGUUAUCAAUUGUCAUUAUGAAGUUUCUGUAUGAGAGAGAAAGUGAGGAGUUUGAAAAUAGAGUUUGAAUCAACGGCUUUGAUUAAGUGUAUGGUUGUGAGAUUAGAUUAGCUCUAAUUACAUGCUUAGGAGAGAAAAAUGCAAGGGAUUAGGGCAAACAUGCUAGCUCAUCAAGUCUAGCUUUUAUAAUAAAAGAUUAAGUGUAAGCAAUUAUGUCCCACAUCGAUUAGAAAUGUAACAAUUAAAACCAUAAACUCAUUGUCUUAGGAUUUUGAGUAACAAUGUGUUGUUUCUCUUAGUGAGCCCUACACGUUUAGCCCAUUUCCGCUCCCUAGUCUCCCGAACAACCUUAAAUGCUUUUGAAUAUUAAAUAAAAAAUUCAAUUUUCUUUUUAUAAAGUUUGAUGUUUUUAUUAGAUUACAUCUUAACAUAAUUAAAACUAUCAUUUUCACCAACAAUGGAUUGGUGCAAGUGGGGAGUGACUUAGACACCUUAAACAUGUGACUGGGGUUAGAUUCCUGACUCAUAUGUAUGAAAAAAUUUGGUUAGGAGAACCCACCUUGAAUGUCCCACAAGGUUGUUGACGAAGAUUAAUCACAACACUACGGUGGAAACUUCGUACCCAUAUCAGGAUAUCCCCUAAAAAAAUAAUAUUAUUUUCAAGUAAAUUAUUUUCAAACUUUGAAAUUCAAUUUGUUAUAUACUUAUUAGUUGAACGCCAAAUUGUAGGUUCACCAUAGGCCCAAUGAAUAUAAAAAACGGACAUGAUGGCAGUUGUCACACAAAUUUUUGUUAAAUCAGAGAGUCUAUGGUUGAAAAUCGAGAACUAUAAUUUAUAAGAGAAAACAUAUGUAGAUAAGAUUUUUAAUUCUUUUCUGUACGGAAGAAGAAAAUAUAAAAGUUGAUGUAUUUAUAGAAAAAAUAUAUAAUUAGGUCCUACGAAUAUAGGACUAAAUUUAAUUUUUUUAACCAGCCAUUUUUAAUCCACAUAAUAGAUGAAGACUUGCUAGAAGUCACCUAGUGUAUAAAUAACAUGCAAUAGUGGGAUACCACGGGGAGAAAAAGACUUGACAAAGUCUAUGAAUAAAUUAUGCCACAAUAAUUAAAAAUAAUAAUAAUGUUAUUACAUAAUAAGGAAAAUACUACAAAUUGAUUGUUUUGUCACUAGUAAGCUGGUUAACGACCAUUGACUUGAUUGCAUCGUCUUCUACUCAACUCUUCUUAUUGGAUGGAUUUAAGUUAUGGAUCUUUAAUUGAUCAUGUAGAAGUUGAAUCGCGUUCAAAACAAAUUUCUAAAAUAAAUAAUUUUUUCAUAAUAAUCACUUAUGAUAAAUAUAUGUAAAAAAGUACUUAGUGCUCUCUAAUAUAACACUUCUAUCUUAGCAAAUUAUAAAUGUACCAUAUCAUCAAUUUUACUCCAACUUGAUCCUGCAAACUUUAUAGCUGUUAAUUAGUUUAUAUGGUGAAGAGUCUAUCAUGCCAUAAUCUGGAAAAGAUAAAUAUCGUUUUAUUAAAAAUUUAAUUAAGUCUUAAUGAUAAGUUCAAAUAAUCAAACAUAGGAAGGUUUACCUUGAAAUAGUAUUAAGAUAUGAUCAAACGAUAUCUUUUAUGUAGAGCUAAAAUAAUUUAGUUUUUGCUUUAUAUAUGUUUACACUGUACUUACAUAUAUAGAGGGGGUGUUCCAUGUAACUGCUACAUAUAAGUUUUGAAGUUUUGGCAUGAAUACAACCGUGUUCUUUGAUUCCCAAUCUCAAAGAAAGGUUGUUCUUGAGUACUUGGCCUCGCUGAGAUUGUACUCUCCUUGUAGGUGUGGGAUCUCGUGAAAUACAAGCCACUCCAUUCAUCACUCAUAUAUGUCCUCUAUUUUUGGGUCGUACCAAAUUGACUAUCUCCCUCACUCACCACCAAUUGCAACACAAACUCUAAACCCCCAACCACUUGACUCAUUGAAGGUCGUUGAGUCCCAUCAUCAUGCAAACAACUUAACGCCAACUUGCAAUAAUAUUCCAAACACUCAUCCGUGAUAGAAUCUUUUAGGGAUGGAUCCACUAUUUGUUCAAUCGCCACACCUUCAUCAUAGCAUCUUUUAAACCAACAAACUAGACUAGUUGUAUUCUUAUCCAAAUCGCGAACCAAUGGUGGCCUAGCACACAACACCUCAAGAAGCACCACACCGAACGAGUACACUUCAGAUUUUAGAGUUAACCUUUGGAGCAUAUAGUAUUGGGGAUCCAAAUACCCAAGGCUCCCCUUCACCAUUGUGCUGACGUGAUGAGUAGUCGAUAUCCCUGUCGGUCCCACCUUGGAUAACCCGAAGUCGGAAACCUUAGCUACCCAUUUGUGAUCCAACAAUAUGUUGGUGCUCUUUACGUCGCGGUGUAUUAUUUUGUGUUUCACCUCAGCAUGAAGAUAAUGCAACCCUCUUGCUGAACCCAAUAGGAUCUCAAGCCUUUGCCUCCAAGGUAGGGGCUGGUUAUUAGAACCAUAAAGAUGCUCGCAGAGAGUACCGCGCUGCAUGAAUUCAUAAACCAGAAUCAUCUAUGUGUUGUCAUUACAAUAUCCCAUGAGGGACACCAAAUGAAUGUGGCGAAGCUGGGAGAGCAACUCGAUUUCGUUCAUGAACUCGUUGACACCUUGUUGAGAGCCCGAUUUGAGGCGUUUAAUCGCAACAAGUGUUGAUCCAUCAACACAACCUUUGUACACGUUGCCAAACCCUCCAACUCCAAUGAUGAAAUCAUCAUCAAAGUUUUUUGUGGCUGCUCUGAUCUCUGCAAUUGUAAAGUAGCGGCACAAAUGGGGCGGCAAAGAUGAUAACCUAGUGUUCUUUGUCUUCGACAAGUUAUCUACCGUGGUACUGUGAAACAUUAUCCUUAGCCAAAUUAUUGUGAUACCCGCGACGAUUACUAGCACGAGGCCUGAAAUUUCCAUCACAGCAGUGAUCUUAACUUUUUUUGACGACUGGGUUGUAAAAAUUUGAUGCGGGUGAGAUAGAUAAAUGGAUUUUGAUAAUGCUCUUGUGAGAUUUUGAUUUUCGUCACUUAUAUUUAAAAUCUCAAUUCCAUUCAAUAUGACACCACUGUAUUUUGAUAAUGGUUGAAGCUUGAUUGAAAGAUCAACUCUUUCAAUUUGAGAGUGUGCUCGUGAUUUUCGGAUAUCAAACCAUUAAUUGAUUUGAAUCGUCUGUGAACUCUCGAUUUUAUUCGUGGGAAGGGAAAAAAUGAGUAAAAACCCUUAUCGAGACUUUGGAUUCGGGGGUUGGUUACGCGAAGGGAAGGUGCUAGCACCCUAAGCGUCUACGGUAUUCCGUAGGAACCUCUUACCUAAAUUAUCUUGUGCUAAAUUCAUUGCUUAUUUGAAAAUUAUUACCUAAAAGUCUAAGUGAAAGAAUGGAGGGAGAAGAAGUAUGUUUUUUGUUAUUUUUAUUUGAUUUGGAAGGAUAAAAAUUCUAUGCCUACAUACCCUUAAAGAAAAGGGAUCAAAACCAAUGUAGUUCACCUAAAAAAUUUCUUUUUGGUGGGUUGGAUUAAUUUUAACAAUUUUGUAAAAAAAAAGGUUUUAAGAAGAGAUUAGAGGCCUCAAGGCAUAAGAGAAAAAUAAAGUGAGGUUGGUCAAAUUUUAAUUACAAGAAAUCAAGUCUAUUAUGAAUGUUAAUUCAAUUAAGCAUUUGAUUAAGAAAAUAAAAGGAAAAACACUUGGGUUACAAACCAAGGUUUAUUUAAGAAAAUAUUUUUGGAGUUUUGCAUAUUUGAUCUUUUUUGGGAAAAUGAUUUUUUCUAAACUAACGUUAAAAACUAACGUAACGGAGCAAAAAUAAAAUAAGCGGUAAAUAAAGCGGCAUAGUGUCGGUGCGUGUGUUACUAAACUAUUACAUACCCUCCUAGAUACACUCUAUGGUCUCAAGAGAAAUAUAAUAAGAAAUAAAAAAAAUGCGCAAAAUAAAUUACAUCAAUUUCCUAUUUAUACACACUAAAAAAAUUAAUGACAAUAAAAUGACAAGAAAUUAAAAUAUGCAUGAGAUGAUUAUAAAUAAAAAUGGCAAUUAUAAAAUAAAAAACAGUAAAUAAAAAUUAAAACAAACACAAUAUUUUUGUAAGUUCUUUAGAUAAUUUUCUUUUAGCAGAGAUGCAGAAAGUAAAAACAGAAGUGUAAUUAAUAAAACUGUAGUGAAAUUUAAAAACAAUUGGGCUCAGACUGGACAGAUCUAAACAAUUUUCUUUAGAUAAUUUUAAAAUACCUCUCUGCCAAAUUUUCACUGAAUCAUGAGAUCGACCAGAGUCAAACGACGCGCGUCCGUGGAAUCCUUGGUCAAAAUUUAGGGUAUGAUAGCUUCCAUUUUGAGAGUACAUAGUCACACCAUAAUCCUUAUGAACAGGAACCAUACGACCAUUACUCCACCUUAUCACAUCGGCUAAUUCUUCAACUAAAUUAUCAUCUAUAAAAAUCUGAAACAUUCUAUCACCUUUAUUUAUGAUAUUCGGAUCAAACUCACAAAAAUGUAACCUUACCAUGUAUGUAAAAGAAGAAUCAACCUCAAAAUUCCAAGUUACAUUAUAAUCCUCUGUCACAUACUUUCCAUAAUUUCUUGCAGUUAAGUAUACAGUUUCUGGUGCAGUGUAAUUUGGAAUGGUAUUGUUUAAAUAGUUUAGAUGAUCUCCAAAAUCACUUGAUACACUUUGUGGAUAUUCUAUCUCCAAGUAACGAGGAGAAUCAUUUUCCCAAUAACGAAACAUACCUGUAUCAUCACUUUGUGGUGAAAGUUUUUAAGAAGGGUAAGAUUGUCGUUUAGUUUGACAGAGAAAAGUGCAUUGGAGGGUUCAAAGUUUUUAUAAGAUGUUGAGUAAAAAUGAAGGCGAAGAAAAACAGGGCAACUAGGGAUGGUAGGAAAUGAGUAUGUGAAAUUUGAGAGCGAGAUACGUGCGGUUUUGAGUGGAAUUGGGAUAUUUGAAAGGUAAUCAUGGGGUAGUGACAAUUUAAGAGAUGGAUUUUUUGUUUUUGGCUCAAGGAAAGAAAAGAGUUCUGUGUUAUCAUUAUUAUCACCAACCCAAAUUCCUUCGUCCGAGUCAGUAUUGUUUAUAUCGGAACCACAACUGAUGGCUAAAUUGUAAAUUGGGUUGUAUGAGGUAGCAAUUAGAGGGAACAAUAGCAAAAUGAGAGAUAGUAUGCUGAUUUUUGACCGAUGCUUAAAGCGUCGAGGACUAGUUUUCCUAUUCACUCAUUAAGAUGACACUCACUCAUUAAGAUGACACAUAUGCAACAUGCUCCCUGAGGAAAAUAAUAUCCCUUGUGGAUAAUAACAAUAAGAUAUAUAGUAUACUAAGUGAUGAAAUCGUUUAUGUUAGAUGUUUCCCUAACCCACCAAGUACCCGCUCUAUUUUAGGUGCUGCAUUUGUAAAUAUACUGAUUACUGCAUAAUGCAAUAAUAUGUGAUUUGGAAUCUAAACAUUCUAUUGUUAUUUCCUUUUGAAUAGCUUGAGAUGGUGCUUAUAUCAGUUUUCCCUAACCAUCAUUGUUUGUUCAUUGCUCUUUAAAUACAGGACGUUGCAUUAGCAUCUGUUUCGAUGAGUUCAGUACCAUUCGCACCAGUUUUAGAGAAACUUUCCCUUUCAGAUGUGAAAUAUAGAACCGUAAGGCGGUUUUAUAUAAAAACUCUUGAAGACAAUGCCAUACCUACUGCACUGCAAGAAAACAUGAUAAAUGCAAGCCCUCCAGAAAAGGUUUUCCAUUUAAAGGGCGCUGAUCAUUCUCCUUUCUUCUCAAAGCCUCAAGCUCUUCAUAAGUUAUUGGUAGAAAUCUCAACAAUCCUUUGAGAGAAAAUUCAUUACCUAAAUUGUUUGUGAAGCUUCGUUCACGCUAAGGCUUCACUAACACGAAAUUUUAAUGUAUAGUUACUUUAUCAUGAAAGAGUAUUGUGUGCAAGUUACAGGUUUCCUUCUUCCCCUUCUUUUUUGGAGUUCGAAUUAGGAAAACCAGCUUGUAUAUCCAACCUAUAUGUAGCUCCUACACUUCAAAUUGAAGAUGUGUUCGUUACACAUGUCAUAUUCGGACAUAAGAGAGACACGUGUGGUUGAUUG
This 37214-nucleotide long non-coding RNA is filed under the name Medicago truncatula (barrel medic). Its description in RNAcentral is "long non-coding RNA (MTRU_LNC004720)". The record is from RNAcentral. Lineage: Eukaryota; Viridiplantae; Streptophyta; Magnoliopsida; Fabales; Fabaceae.